GUUUAAGGUCCUUCAAAUCCAGAUCAUGGAUAAUGUUUUUCUCCUUUCUCCCAUUUCCCCAGGCUGUGCAGUUUAUACAGCUCGGGAUUUCUAGUUAUCGAGGAUCCAGUCCUAUGUGGAUGAGGUCGUUAACUGAGCCCCUGGAAUUAUUCUUGCUUCAGGAUGAAAGGAACUGGACUUCUCAAGUAGAAGCACAGGAAAGAAGUGACUGGAGACACGCCUGAAUACACCUGGGACUCAGCCUUCAUAUCUGUCCAUGUCAAGAUAUGUCCAUGACGGGAAUGAUCUCCCUAGAUGUCACACUUUUGUGCAGUGUACAACCACAGCAUCCUUCCAUGGUGGGCCUGAAAAUGGUCCUCAUGAAUCUCAGCUAUGAUUCACGAUAGACAUUUUAUGGAAGAAAUGCCUUAAGAUGAAUGUAGAACCAGGGAAGGGCAUGAGAAAUUCUUUUUUUCAUGCUGCUGCUGUGCUAUUAUCAUCUAUAAGGUUAUUUUCUUUCUUCUCCACUAGAGAAUGAUAUACUCUUGUUUCCACUUACUCUAUUUUAUCUCCCUAGACCCAGGGCCUGGAGCUGUGCCAGCUCAUAAAUCCACUGAAUGAAAGAAAUUCAUGAAUCAUGAUAGAAAAAAUCAGGUUAAAAUAGUUACUUUGAAUGAAUACCAGGUGUUCUUUCUGACAAAAGUAUAUUUCCAUAGCUCCUACUCCACCUCUGUCCUAACCAGCAAAACACUAAAGCCUUGGUCAGUCUUUCAAGAGAACCUUAAGAAGGUAGGAAUCACAGAGUUGUCUCUGUAAGAGGAAAUGCCCUCUUCUUAAGUGACCACUUUAGAGGAUCCUUAAGUGGUUUCCAGUAAUAGAAGACAACGUUCACAGUUAAAUACAAGUCUCCAAAAUUGAUGGGUUGCUUCCGGGUAUAUUUGUUCGCCUGGAAGCAGUUUCACCAUAGUGGUUUGCAUUUCUAAUUGUUUAAUGGGGACUGUGUCCUUUAGAUCUAAAUGAAAAACUAGAAAAUAUCCAGGUCAUGUUGUUGGGCUUAGUGAAUGCAUAAUUAGGAUGUAAAUCAGCAUUUUAGAGCUGAUGACAGGUUUUUCUAGACAGGCAAGAUUAGAAGGCAUGAGGAAUUUGGAAUGCUUCCUUUUUGGCAAUACAAUUAUUUUUCUUUGGUUUGCCCUGCUCCCUGCCUACAUCCAAAUGUACAACUUCAUAUAGUCAAUAAAUAAAUAUUAUUUAUCUUACCUGCUUUCUGA
RNAcentral lists this long non-coding RNA (1247 nucleotides) under Bos indicus x Bos taurus (hybrid cattle). RNAcentral describes it as "lncRNA (ENSBIXG00005007328.1)". Lineage: Eukaryota; Metazoa; Chordata; Mammalia; Artiodactyla; Bovidae. The record is from RNAcentral.